RNAcentral lists this ribosomal RNA (164 nucleotides) under Memecylon confusum. RNAcentral's name for it is "5.8S ribosomal RNA". It matches the Rfam family "5.8S ribosomal RNA". From Rfam's summary of the family: 5.8S ribosomal RNA (5.8S rRNA) is a component of the large subunit of the eukaryotic ribosome. The record is from RNAcentral. Lineage: Eukaryota; Viridiplantae; Streptophyta; Magnoliopsida; Myrtales; Melastomataceae.
AAAAACGACUCUCGGCAAYGGAUAUCUCGGCUCUUGCAUCGAUGAAGAACGUAGCGAAAUGCGAUACUUGGUGUGAAUUGCAGAAUCCCGUGAACCAUCGAGUCUUUGAACGCAAGUUGCGCCCAAAGCCAUUUGGUUGAGGGCACGCCUGCCUGGGUGUCGUG